RNAcentral lists this ribosomal RNA (828 nucleotides) under Gaeumannomyces avenae. Its description in RNAcentral is "eukaryotic LSU rRNA". It matches the Rfam family "Eukaryotic large subunit ribosomal RNA", at positions 40 to 898 of the family's 3401-position model. The record is from RNAcentral. Lineage: Eukaryota; Fungi; Ascomycota; Sordariomycetes; Magnaporthales; Magnaporthaceae.
AUAUCAAUAAGCGGAGGAAAAGAAACCAACAGGGAUUGCCCUAGUAACGGCGAGUGAAGCGGCAACAGCUCAAAUUUGAAAUCUGGCCCCAGGCCCGAGUUGUAAUUUGCAGAGGAUGCUUUUGGCAAAGCGCUUACCGAGUCCCCUGGAACGGGGCGCCACAGAGGGUGAGAGCCCCGUAUGGUAGGACGCCGAGCCUCUGUAAAGCUCCUUCGACGAGUCGAGUAGUUUGGGAAUGCUGCUCUAAAUGGGAGGUAAAUUUCUUCUAAAGCUAAAUACCGGCCAGAGACCGAUAGCGCACAAGUAGAGUGAUCGAAAGAUGAAAAGCACUUUGAAAAGAGGGUUAAAUAGCACGUGAAAUUGUUGAAAGGGAAGCGCUCGUGACCAGACUUGCGCCGGGCGGAUCAUCCAGCGUUCUCGCUGGUGCACUCCGCCCGGCUCAGGCCAGCAUCGGUUUUUGCCGGGGGACAAAAGCUUCGGGAACGUGGCUCCCUUCGGGGAGUGUUAUAGCCCGUUGCUUAAUACCCCGGCGGGGACCGAGGACCGCGCUUCGGCAAGGAUGCUGGCGUAAUGGUCAUCAGCGACCCGUCUUGAAACACGGACCGAGGAGUCAAGCAUUAGUGCGAGUGUUUGGGUGUAAAACCCGCACGCGUAAUGAAAGUGAACGUAGGUGAGAGCUUCGGCGCAUCAUCGACCGAUCCUGAUGUUUUCGGAUGGAUUUGAGUAGGAGCAUUAACGCUUGGACCCGAAAGAUGGUGAACUAUACUUGAAUAGGGUGAAGCCAGAGGAAACUCUGGUGGAGGCUCGCAGCGGUUCUGACGUGCAAAU